This 339-nucleotide unclassified non-coding RNA is filed under the name soil metagenome. Its description in RNAcentral is "partial contains 5.8S ribosomal RNA, internal transcribed spacer 2, and large subunit ribosomal RNA". The stretch from base 1 to 120 matches the Rfam family "5.8S ribosomal RNA", at positions 35 to 154 of the family's 154-position model. The record is from RNAcentral.
GAUGAAGAACGCAGCGAAAUGCGAUAAUUAAUGUGAAUUGCAGAAUUCCGUGAAUCUUCGAGUUUUUGAACGCAUAUUGCGCCCCUUGGUAUUCCGAGGGGCAUGCCUGUCCGAGCGUCAUUGCAACCCUUCAAGCACGGCUUGUGUGUUGGACGGCCGCCCCAGUGUGGGCGGGUCCCAAAUGCAGUGGCGGCGCCGCGAUCCGGGUGCUCGAGUGCAUGGAAACCACGCGCUCGUUAGGCCCCGUCGGGCGCCGGCCGACCUAAUUAUCUUCGUUCUGGUUGACCUCGGAUCAGGUAGGAAUACCCGCUGAACUUAAGCAUAUCAAUAAGCGGAGGA